This 437-nucleotide long non-coding RNA is filed under the name Monodelphis domestica (gray short-tailed opossum). RNAcentral describes it as "lncRNA (ENSMODG00000043374.1)". Lineage: Eukaryota; Metazoa; Chordata; Mammalia; Didelphimorphia; Didelphidae. The record is from RNAcentral.
GAAUGGCUCCAAAGAAGACAUGAGACGACACCUCCAUUACUCCUAUUCAUGGAGAUGGCACAGAGGAAAUACAAGAGAAGAAUAUAUUUGCAGAUGCAGAUGAUAGAAGUACAAUCAAUAAAUAUUUAAAGAUAUCAAGGUUUACAGAUGAGGGAACCAAGGUACUCAAAGAAUCUCUCACAAAGGAGGAUUGGAUACUGAUAAUGCUGUUGGAAAUUAUUGUUCAGGUAAGAGUUUAACUAGAUGGUAUUAGGCAUUCCUUAAAACUCUGAAAUUUUAUGAUCUGGCUCUUUAAAAUACACUUGGGGAAUUUUUUUGUAGUCAUUUUGGUUUUUUGCUGGUGCCGUGGAUAAAGUCCUGGUCUAAGGACUAGAAGUCCUGAGUCCAAAUUCUGUCUGAGAUAAUUACUAGCUCUGUCACCCUAAGCAAGUCUAAUA